AGCAGCCGCGGUAAUUCCAGCUCCAAUAGCGUAUAUUAAAGUUGUUGCAGUUAAAAAGCUCGUAGUUGAAUUUCGGGAUCAAAUUGUCGGUCGUGCCUCGGUACGUACUGGUAUUAUUGGUUCCUCCCUUCUGACGAACCACGAUGUCAUUAAUUUGGUGUCAUGGGAAAUCAGGACUGUUACUUUGAAAAAAUUAGAGUGUUUAAAGCAGGCUCGCGCUUGAAUACAUUAGCAUGGAAUAAUGAAAUAGGACGUUUGAUUCUAUUUUGUUGGUUUCUAGGAUCGACGUAAUGAUUAAUAGGGAUAGUUGGGGGCGUUAGUAUUCAAUUGUCAGAAGUGAAAUUCUUGGAUUUAUUGAAGACUAACUACUGCGAAAGCAUUUGCCAAGGAUGUUUUCAUUAAUCAAGAACGAAAGUUAGGGGAUCGAAGACGAUCAGAUACCGUCGUAGUCUUAACCAUAAACUACGCCGACUAGGGAUCGGAUGAUGUUAAUUUUUUAAUGACUCAUUCGGCGCCUUAC
RNAcentral lists this ribosomal RNA (520 nucleotides) under uncultured Glomus. RNAcentral's name for it is "SSU rRNA". It matches the Rfam family "Eukaryotic small subunit ribosomal RNA", at positions 569 to 1091 of the family's 1831-position model. The record is from RNAcentral. Lineage: Eukaryota; Fungi; Glomeromycota; Glomeromycetes; Glomerales; Glomeraceae.